GAGAGAGAGAGAGAGAGAGAGAGAGAGGCUGCAUUAGACAACAAUGUCAAUUUCCUGUCCGACAGCGAUGUCCAUAGAUAGAUCAACCAGUUUGGAUGUCAAAUAAAAAAACCUUCACAUUGAAAAAUUUGUAAGUUUUCUCAUCCUUAAUUAAGAAACAUUGCCAUCUUUUAUUAUUAUUAUUAUGGUGGAUUGUUUGGAUGGAGUUAACAUACUAAAAGCAAAGUCCAAUUCUACCCUUCCAAAAUUCUCUUGCUGAUCCAAAGGUUUUCCUGUAUCUCUCGCAGCAGUAAAAAAUUACUUCCAUACAAUAAGCAAACUUGCAAUCCGAGCUUCUCCUUAUUCAUGAAGAGAAGGGGUUUUCCAUGAGUGUGGUAUGAGAGAAAAUGUUUACCUUUGGUAGAAAGAGAAAUGGCAUUGGCCUUACAAAAAUGCCGCCUAAAGCUGCCAUGGAUCCGCAUAGGGCUGCCAUGGAUCCGCAUAGGGCUGCCAUGGAUGGGGUUUGAGCUUCUUUGGUCUUUUGCAACCCGAGCUUCUCCUUAUUCAUGAAGAGAAAGGGCUUCCCAUAGGUGUGGUAUGAGAGAAAAGACUUGCCUUUUGUAGAGAGAGAAAAAUCCUUGGCUUUAUAAAGACGUCGCCUAGGGCUGCCAUGGAUGGAGCUUGAGCUUCUUUGGGUUUUUACAACCUGAGCUUCUCUUCAUUCAUGAAAAGAGAGGGGUUUCCCAUGGGUGUGGUAUGAGAGGAAAGGCCUGCCUUUUGUAGAGAGAGAAAGGGGCCUGACUUUAUAAAGACACUGUUUAGAGCUGCCAUGGAUGGGGUUUGAGUUUCUCUGGCUUUUUGCAAUCAAGCUUCUCCUUAUUCAUAAAGAGAAGGGGCUUCUCAUAGGUGUGGUAUGAGAGAAAAGGCUCGUCUUUUGUAGAGAGAGAAAGGGUCAUGGCUUUAUAAAGACGCCUCCUAGGCCUGCCUUGGAUGGGGCUUGAGCUUCUUGUUUUUUUAGACAGAGAAAAUGAAAAUGUUCUCUUUCAUAGAAAGAGAAUAGAUUUGGGGUUUCUGAGGUUUCACAGAGUUGUUGGGUCACGGGUUGAGGUUUGUGCAUGGGGUGAGAGAGCUGCAGUUUCAUAAAAAAAUUUCCAGUUUGACUUGAAUUUUUUCUUACGGUAACUUUUGCCUUGAUACUGUAAUGUUUUUUAUUUUAAUCUAAAAAUCUAACAAAAUCUUGAGGUUGUCCAAAUGGUUAAAAUUUGUUUUACAAGAUUUUUGAAUUGCAAUAAAAAAAUAUCGCAAUUUUGGGCACAUCCAAACUGGCACUAAAUAGUAAAAUAAAUUAUCCAUCGAUUACUUGUUGAAUAACCGUUGAAUAUGCAUGAGAUACCAAUAGAACGCUUUUCAUAUGUUGUAUGAUAAAAUUCUUUUAAUGCUUUAUGAACCAUUCUUGAUUGAGCAUUAUGAAGAUUUUUAGACGAUCCAUGUGCGGUUUUUUGAGUUUAUUCAUCAUAUCUGGACUCUACGCAGGAACCUGCACUGGAGAACAUGGUGUUGGUACGGGAAAAAUGAAGUACCUUGAAAAGGAGCUGGGAAUAGAGGCACUGAGAACAAUGAAAAGGAUAAAGACCGCCUUGGAUCCCAAUAAUAUUAUGAAUCCAGGGAAGCUCAUCCCUCCUCAUGUUUGUUUUUAGUUUCGAUUUGUAUAAUGAGUUUCACUUUUCUGUACACAAUAUGAAUAGAAAAAUAGACACUAGACAAUAGUGCUAUCGAAAAUGACAAGAGAGAGAAACUUGGCGAUGGCCGGCUCCGGCUAGCCAUCCAUAUGUUUGUAAUGUUAUUUAUACUAGUGGAUUUAUGUGCCUUGCACGUAAUAGACCAAUUUAAACAUGUAUUGGAGAAAGUGAACUUCUCAUGUUGAAUAAACAUGGUAUUUUUAUUUA
Molecule: non-coding RNA, 1925 nt
Organism: Amborella trichopoda
Lineage: Eukaryota; Viridiplantae; Streptophyta; Magnoliopsida; Amborellales; Amborellaceae
Source: RefSeq, a predicted model, not a curated record